Molecule: ribosomal RNA, 253 nt
Filed under: uncultured bacterium
Lineage: Bacteria
Description: partial 16S ribosomal RNA
Rfam family: Bacterial small subunit ribosomal RNA
Source: RNAcentral
UACGUAGGGUGCAGGCGUUAAUCGGAAUUACUGGGCGUAAAGCGUGCGCAGGCGGUCUUUUAAGUCAGAUGUGAAAUCCCCGGGCUUAACCUGGGAACUGCGUUUGAAACUGGAAGGCUAGAGUGUGGCAGAGGGGGGUGGAAUUCCACGUGUAGCAGUGAAAUGCGUAGAGAUGUGGAGGAACACCGAUGGCGAAGGCAGCCCCCUGGGUCAAGAUUGACGCUCAUGCACGAAAGCGUGGGGAGCAAACAGG